This 773-nucleotide long non-coding RNA is filed under the name Gallus gallus (chicken). RNAcentral's name for it is "lncRNA (ENSGALG00010020780.1)". Lineage: Eukaryota; Metazoa; Chordata; Aves; Galliformes; Phasianidae. The record is from RNAcentral.
GUUGUGGGGCACAUGGCAGGAGAUGCAGCCGGGUGGCAGUGCCAGGCGGGUGAGAAGCACCCGGGGCUGCCUCCGCUGCACCUCUUUGGUCAGAUGUGCACUGUGGGGCAACAGAGGUGCGGGGGCAGCCAGGGGGGUCGGCAGUGCCAGGCGGGUGAGAACCACCCGGGGCUGCCUCUGCCGCGCCUCUUCCAUCAGAUGCCCGCGGGGCAGCGGCUCAGAGAGCUGCCCAGAGGAUGCUGGCUGCCCCGAGAACGGCUCGCUGAGGGGCCCGGCGUCAGCCUGCGCCUCUCCGCUGAGCUCCCUGCUGCCGCUGGGACGGUCACGGAGGGCUCUGGUGAAAGGAGAGGUGCUGAGCCUGCUGGGGACGGCUGGGAACGCCUGCUGGGGGACCUCCCGAGGACUCGACGCUUCUGCAAAACAAAGAACAUCCCCCAAAACCAGGACGGCAGCCUUCCCACAGCCACUCGGCGCGGACAUCCAUCCGCCACCGCUGCGGCCCCUGAACUCACCAACGAUCCAGCUGAGCAAACCGUCGAGUUCCAGGCUGUCAUCUGGAAUGCCUGCGCUGGGUGUCCCAUCUGGGAAAAGGAUGGAAAUCCCCAAGGGGGCAAUGCCAGCUUUCCCACAGCCACUCGGAGCAGACAUCCCCGCCUGCUCUGCAGCCCCUGAACUCACCGUUGCUGAUCCACGUCAGGAUAUCAUCGAUCUCCGCGCUGUCGACCGGGAUGUCUGCGCUGGAUGUCAUGUCUGGAAAAGGCAAGAAAAUCCCC